RNAcentral lists this long non-coding RNA (240 nucleotides) under Sorghum bicolor (sorghum). RNAcentral describes it as "long non-coding RNA (SBIC_LNC000549)". Lineage: Eukaryota; Viridiplantae; Streptophyta; Magnoliopsida; Poales; Poaceae. The record is from RNAcentral.
UGCGCUUGCGGAUAGAAUAGAUUUUUUUCUAGAGAGCCUUUACAUUUAUAAAUACCUUUGUACACUCUGGCGCCAUGCUAGGGAUGACAACCUAGUAUCUAAGUGGUGUUAGCUAGUGUCAACUAUAAGGUCGGUUGGAUCUGAAUCCCCUAGAGGGCCGAGACAUUGAAGGUGUGGUUGAUCGGUGGGGAUGACAAUUUUAUUGGACAACUCCUAGUGAUUUUGGGGGAAUAAAAAUAC